Molecule: transfer RNA, 67 nt
Filed under: Phaneroptera falcata (sickle-bearing bush cricket)
Lineage: Eukaryota; Metazoa; Arthropoda; Insecta; Orthoptera; Tettigoniidae
Description: tRNA-Pro
Source: RNAcentral
CAGAGGGUAGUUUAAUUUAGAAUAUUAAUUUUGGGGAUUAAUGAUAAAGAGUUUUCUUUUCCUCUGA